Molecule: unclassified non-coding RNA, 387 nt
Filed under: uncultured bacterium
Lineage: Bacteria
Description: contains 16S-23S intergenic spacer region
Source: RNAcentral
UCCGGUUUGGCACCGGCAGUCCCCCGAGAGUCCUCAGCGCCUUGCGGCCUGUUAGCAACACGGGGCGGGGGUUGCGCUCGUUGCGGGACUUAACCCAACAUCUCACGACACGAGCUGACGACAGCCAUGCAGCACCUUGCACUCUGCCUAGGUUUCCCUAGGAGGCUCCAUCUCUGGAGUUGUCAGAGGCAUUCUAGCCCAGGUAAGGUUCUUCGCGUUGCGUCGAAUUGAACCACAUGCUCCACCGCUUGUGCGGGUCCCCGUCAAUUCCUUUGAGUUCCAGUCUUGCGACCGUACUCCCCAGGCGGAUAACUUAACGCGUUAGCUGCGCCACCGAAGCUCUAAGAGCCCCGACAGCUAGUUACCAUCGUUUACGGCGUGGACUAC